Odocoileus virginianus texanus is the source of this 1641-nucleotide non-coding RNA. The record is from RefSeq and is a predicted model, not a curated record. NCBI's taxonomy places the organism in Eukaryota, Metazoa, Chordata, Mammalia, Artiodactyla, Cervidae.
UUUUCUUGACAACAGAAGGAGAUAGACUUUUCUUGGGCUCUAAAACUAUUCUGUCCUACAUGAAUAGAUCAUUCUUUAAUUCUUCUAAUAAAUACAUUCUAGUAUUAUAUAUUUAUCUUAAAGUCAUCAUUUAAAAACCAAACUUCCUUGCCAUUGAUAAUUCAAAAUAUAUCAUCCCUUGAUUUUCUAAUGCCUUUAGUGAUACUGAACCAAUGAUUUUACUUAAACUUUCAGACAAUUAAGCUUAAAAUCAGUUCUUAAAUAUACAAAAUCAAAAAUAAUGUUUCUAAAUUAAACCAAUGGCUCUUUUUGUAUCUGCAGCAUGCUUUAAUUUCUACCACAUAUGUGUAAAUUGGCAAAGUACCUAAAAGGCUAUAAUAAUCCUGAUGGCUUGGAACCAGUUUUUUACCAUCAUUGAACAAGUCCAUCUACUCUGAAUCUUUGGAUUAAGACAAAAACUCCAUCCUGCCAUGCACCUGGUCAGUUGUGCAAUCCUGACCAAUGAACAGCUGCUAACAAUAAGGGUAUUGUGCUUAUGUAACACAGUUCAGGACCUGAUGGUUAGUCUCUUGAUAAAUGGUGAAACACUAGGGAAUAUUCUCUUGCCAGGAUGCCUGCUUCAUGGAAAAUACUAUGUCUAUGUUGACCUGCACCCUUAAAUCUUCUCUCUAUAUGACUUGGUGAACUUGGCUUCUGGAAGAUCACAUUAGCCUUCCCACUUGGCUUUGAGGGAGUUAAGGAUAUUUGAGGGAGUUAAGAAAUGGCCAUACAGUGUUGCAGCAAAUGUAAUUUUAGGAACUGUUUUCUGUAGACUUGUUUCACCACGUUAACAAAAAUCUGUAUUAUGUUUCUUCCCAUCGAUGUGGGUGUGUCCUUGUGUGUGUAUUCAAGAGAGGCUUCCGUUUGUUGAGUGAUCUUCAUGCAAACAUCUUGGAGUGCUUUACAAAAGAAUUUUAAAAAUUAAACCAAACAGGAUAUGAAACUGUGCUGCCAAACAAGUACAUUUCUCUCCUCAAUGGCCAAAGCAGACGUCACCAUUAGUGAUUCUGAUGCUGUUCAACAUGUAUUUUAAGCUUGAGACACAUUUCAGUUUGGACUAGCUGUAUUUCAGAUGCCACAGGAAGCUGCCCUGGUUUGUGGUCAGAUGCAAGAAAAGGAGGUUGAAACCAGCACUUUCAGGGAAGCCUCAGAAGCUGGUGCUUAAGAGUUGCCUGCCACCCCUUGUUAUCCUCAUUACAGGAUGCCACAGCGUCGGGGGAAUUUUCUGAGAAGUUUGUGGGUAGCUUGUGCAUUCUCAUUAAUUAGGAAAUUAGAUUGUUGACUAUAAAUUGGAGAUUUAGGAAUGUCUUUAUUUAAAGUUGAGGAAAUGAAGCGUGGGAGGUUAGAUGAUAGCUAUGCUGUUUACACCAAAUUGCAGUGGUUUACUUGCUUUUGCUUUGGGGGUCAUAUUAACUUCAGCACCAAAGCCAGUCCCCUCAGAAGGCUCAGUUCCCUGCCAGAUGGGUUUGUUUUACAAGAUUUCCUGUAUAAGCAUGAUUCUAAGUAAUACAAGUAAUCUUAUUGAUUGCAAGUCUUCUUUCUCUUUCCCCCAAACUCUCCAUCUGAUUUUUUUUCAAGAUUGUCUUGUCCCUUCUAGAAACA